Molecule: non-coding RNA, 11820 nt
Organism: Xyrichtys novacula (pearly razorfish)
Lineage: Eukaryota; Metazoa; Chordata; Actinopteri; Labriformes; Labridae
Source: the annotation of a GenBank genome assembly
UUCCAGUUCAAAGGGGCAGAAAAAUAACUAGGGCCCCGUUGGGGCACUGGCGGGCCCGAGCCGCGGUGCGCCGCCCCCAACACGACCGCCUCUCCCUACCGAUCGCGUCACACUCAAGGUCCAAAGAUGGUGUGCGCACUUGUCUGUGGUCAUUUACAAUUAUAAUGAAUGGGAGGCGCAGUUUCUACCAAAACGCUCGCCGCAGACAAACUACAUGUCCUAUUUGAAAAGGACUGGACCAUGAGUGAGGGCACAAACACAGCUAGGAUAUAUCCAAAUGGCAAGUUGCUCCUCCUUUCGGUUUUGCCGAGAGAGCGAUGUGUUUGAGUCAUUGAGCGAUGGGCAGGAAAAACUUGACUUUUUCUCCUGCCAUGGGGGGGCGCUCUUUUAGGGAGUAAAAAUUCCUUCACAAAUGUGUUGAUGGCUAGACAUUGCAUCAUCCUAAAAAACUUGGAGGCCAGUAUGGAAAAAAAUAAAAAGUUAUAAGACUUUUAAGAAUGUGGAUUUUUGGGUUAUAUUUGGUGCCCCCUAGAACCCAAACCGUGGGGUGCAGCAAGAUGAUUUGUACAACUUUUAAUGGCCAUGGGGUGUAGAUUGGCCUGAGCAAAUUUGGUGCCGGUGGAAAGAUAGCCUUCGGAGGAGUUAGCGAAAUUCCAAUGUGUGCGGAUCGGCAAAAAAUGCAAAAUAGCCCUUUAACCGUACAUGUCAGAUACAUGCCCUUUGACUUUUUUGUAGAUCUUAUUGAGAUACACGUGAUUGUCAAAUUUUGUGUCAAUAUGACAAAGCGUUCAGGCGUGACACUCUACAAUGUGUAUUUUCAUGUUAGGGGACAAGAAAAAAUGGACCUUUUUCUCCUGCCAUUGGGGGGCGCUCUUUUGGGGAGUAAAAAUUCCUUCACAAAUGUGUUGAUGGCUGGACAUUGCAUCAUCCUAGAAAACUUGAAGGCCAGUGAGGACAAAAGUAAAAAGUUAUAAGACUUUUAAGAAUGUGGAUUUUUGGGUUAUCUUUGGCGCCCCCUAGAACCUAAACCGUGGGGUGCAGCGUCAUGAUUUGUACAACUUUUAAUGGCCAUGGGGUGUAGAUUGGCCUGAGCAAAUGUGGUGCCGGUGGAACGAAAGCCUUCGGAGGAGUUAGCGAAAUUCCAAUGUGUGCGGAUCGGCAAAAAAUGCGAAAUAACCCUUUAACCGUACAUGUGAUAGAUACGCCCGCACUGAUUUUUUUGUAGAUCUUAUUGAGAUACAUAUGUGUGUCAAAUUUUGUGUCAAUAUGACAAAGCGUACAGGCGUGACAGUCAAUAGUGUGAAUUUUCACCUUAGGGGGCGCUAUGGAGCCAUUUUGCAUUUUAUUGUUUGGGCGACUUCAGAAUAUCGAAUUUUUCACCAGGCCCGGUCGUCCUGCCAAAUUUCAUGAGUUUUCGCCAGUGGGAAGUGGGCCAUUUUCCCCUUCAAAGGGGAGGAAAAAUAAGAAGAAAGAAAGAAAGAAAGAAGAAAGAAAAACCUAUACAGGAAUAAUAGGGCUCUACGCCCGGCUGCUCUGCAGCUGGCUCGGGCCCUAACUAGGGCCCCGGUGGGGCACUGUCGGGCCCGAGCCGCGUCGCACCGCCCCCAGCGCGACCGCCUCCCCCUCCCGAUCGCGUCACACUCAAGGUCCAAAGAUGGUGUGCGCACUUGUCUGUGGUCAUUUCCCAUUAUAAUAAAUGGGAGGCGCAGUUUCUACCAAAACACUCGCUGCAGACAAACUACAUGUCCUAUUUGAAAAAAGUCUGGACCAUGAGUGAGGGCACAAACACAGCUAGGAUAUAUCCAAAUGGCAAGUUGCUCCUCCUUACGGUGUUGCCGGGAGAGCGAUGCGAUUGAGCCAUUGACCGAUGGGCAGGGUUAACUUGACUUUUUCUCCUGCCUUGGGGGAUGUGGAUUCUUUUAAGAAUAUGGAUAUUUGGGUCAUCUUUGGCGCCCCCUAGAACGUAAACCGUGGGGUGCAGCGUCAUGAUUUUUACAACUUUGAAUGGCCAUGGGGUGUAGAUUGGCCUGAGCAAAUUUGGUGUCAGUGGGACGAAAGCUGUAGGACGAGUUAGCCACAUUCCAAUGUGUGCGAAUCAGCAAAAAAUGCAAAAUAGCCCUUUAACCGUACAUUUUACAGAUACGUGCCCAUUGACUUUUUCGUAGAUCUUAUUGAGAUACAUGUGUGUGUCAAUUUUUGUGUCAAUAUGACAAAGCGUACAGGCGUGACAGUCAACAAUGUGUAUUUUCACCUUAGGGGACAAGAAAAAAUGGACUUUUUUCUCCUGCCAUGUGGGGGCGCUCUUUUGGGGAGUAAAAAUUCCUUCACAAAUGUGUUGAUGGCUGGACAUUGCAUCAUCCUAGAGAACUUGGAGGCCAGUGAGGAAAAUAAUAAAAAGUUAUAAGACUUUUAAGAAUGUGGAUUUUUUGGUUAUCUUUGGCGCCCCCUAGAACCUAAACCGUGGGGUGCAGCGUCAUGAUUUGUACAACUUUCGAUGGCCAUGGGGUGUAGAUUGGCCUGAGCAAAUGUGGUGCCGGUGGAACGAAAGCCUUCGGAGGAGUUAGCGAAAUUUCAAUGUGUGCGGAUCGGCAAAAAAUGCGAAAUAACCCUUUAACCGUACAUUUGACAGAUACGCGCGCACUGACUUUUUUGUAGAUCUUAUUGAGAUACAUGUGUGUGUCAAUUUUUGUGUCAAUAUGACAAAGCGUACAGGCGUGACAGUCAACAGUGUGAAUUUCCACCUUAGGGGGCGCUAUGGAGCCAUUUUGCAUUUUAUUGUUUGGGCGACUUCAGAAUAUCGAAUUUUUCACCAGGCCCGGUCCUCCUGCCAAAUUUCAUGAGUUUUCGCCAGUGGGAAGUGGGCCAUUUUCCAGUUUAAAGCGGAGGAAAAAUAAUAACUAGGGCCCCGUUGGGGCACUGGCGGGCCCGAGCCGCGGUGCGCCGCCCCCAACACGACCGCCUCUCCCUACCGAUCGCGUCACACUCAAGGUCCAAAGAUGGUGUGCGCACUUGUCUGUGGUCAUUUACAAUUAUAAUGAAUGGGAGGCGCAGUUUCUACCAAAACGCUCGCCGCAGACAAACUACAUGUCCUAUUUGAAAAGGACUGGACCAUGAGUGAGGGCACAAACACAGCUAGGAUAUAUCCAAAUGGCAAGUUGCUCCUCCUUUCGGUUUUGCCGAGAGAGCGAUGUGUUUGAGUCAUUGAGCGAUGGGCAGGAAAAACUUGACUUUUUCUCCUGCCAUGGGGGGGCGCUCUUUUAGGGAGUAAAAAUUCCUUCACAAAUGUGUUGAUGGCUAGACAUUGCAUCAUCCUAAAAAACUUGGAGGCCAGUAUGGAAAAAAAUAAAAAGUUAUAAGACUUUUAAGAAUGUGGAUUUUUGGGUUAUAUUUGGUGCCCCCUAGAACCCAAACCGUGGGGUGCAGCAAGAUGAUUUGUACAACUUUUAAUGGCCAUGGGGUGUAGAUUGGCCUGAGCAAAUUUGGUGCCGGUGGAAAGAUAGCCUUCGGAGGAGUUAGCGAAAUUCCAAUGUGUGCGGAUCGGCAAAAAAUGCAAAAUAGCCCUUUAACCGUACAUGUCAGAUACAUGCCCUUUGACUUUUUUGUAGAUCUUAUUGAGAUACACGUGAUUGUCAAAUUUUGUGUCAAUAUGACAAAGCGUUCAGGCGUGACACUCUACAAUGUGUAUUUUCAUGUUAGGGGACAAGAAAAAAUGGACCUUUUUCUCCUGCCAUUGGGGGGCGCUCUUUUGGGGAGUAAAAAUUCCUUCACAAAUGUGUUGAUGGCUGGACAUUGCAUCAUCCUAGAAAACUUGAAGGCCAGUGAGGACAAAAGUAAAAAGUUAUAAGACUUUUAAGAAUGUGGAUUUUUGGGUUAUCUUUGGCGCCCCCUAGAACCUAAACCGUGGGGUGCAGCGUCAUGAUUUGUACAACUUUUAAUGGCCAUGGGGUGUAGAUUGGCCUGAGCAAAUGUGGUGCCGGUGGAACGAAAGCCUUCGGAGGAGUUAGCGAAAUUCCAAUGUGUGCGGAUCGGCAAAAAAUGCGAAAUAACCCUUUAACCGUACAUGUGAUAGAUACGCCCGCACUGAUUUUUUUGUAGAUCUUAUUGAGAUACAUAUGUGUGUCAAAUUUUGUGUCAAUAUGACAAAGCGUACAGGCGUGACAGUCAAUAGUGUGAAUUUUCACCUUAGGGGGCGCUAUGGAGCCAUUUUGCAUUUUAUUGUUUGGGCGACUUCAGAAUAUCGAAUUUUUCACCAGGCCCGGUCGUCCUGCCAAAUUUCAUGAGUUUUCGCCAGUGGGAAGUGGGCCAUUUUCCCCUUCAAAGGGGAGGAAAAAUAAGAAGAAAGAAAGAAAGAAAGAAGAAAGAAAAACCUAUACAGGAAUAAUAGGGCUCUACGCCCGGCUGCUCUGCAGCUGGCUCGGGCCCUAAUAAUAAUAACAAAAGAAGAAUCCAUCAGGAACAAGAGGGCUCUCGCAGCUGCUUAGCAGCUACGCUCGGGCCCUAACUAGGACCCCGUUGGGGCACUGGCGGGCCCGAGCCGUGUCGCGUCCCCCCCCCCAACGUGCUGCCUUCCCGUCCCAUUUGUGUCCUCUGGCCAUCGCCCCCUCUGGUAACGCCCAUCACUGCAAAGACCCUUUUCCUUCAUCGGCGUUUGCUGUUCUUCCUGCCAGUGCGUGUUGCUUUCACUUACACUUGCCACAGCCAGCCUCGUGAGUGCCUAGCCUAUUGGAUAUCACUGUCACCUACACAGGACAGUCAUUACCUUUCUAUUAAUACUUUGUGUUUUAAUUUCACAUUAAUUUCCAUAUUGUAUAAACGACUGGAAAAAACUUGAGCCCCUGCCCCUGUAUAAUCAUGUGCAUGUCUCUGUUCUAGCUCCAAGGUGAAUCUUCACUGCUCAUGUUCUCCUCAGAAGCACUCACCUCACUCCCCUCAGGUUACUGUACACAUGCACCAACUGCCUGCUUCAGGUUUGGAUGGAGCUUCAUGGUUGUCUUUUGGAGAAAUGAGCAGUCAAGUUGUGUUUGAAAUUUGAUUUUUUUCAGGGGCAAAAGGAGCCUCUGCAUUCUUGUCAAAUAUGUAAAUAGCAUGUUUUUGCAGGUGCUAAAAACCAGACUCUGAGUGUGUGUGUGUGUGUGUGUGUGUGUGUGUGUGUGUGCGUGUGUGUGUGUCUGUGUGUGCGUUCAAGUCACAUGACAUAUUUAACCGGAUGUAGCUGCAAGACGGAGCCUCGUUGACUCUCCGUUUCAACUUAUCUCAAAAGUGAGGACCUCAACCUAUAUACCAGUUUUUAAAUUGUGUUGAUAGGCCAAAUAAAACCAGAGUUAUGAUAAAUUAUGUCCGCGAUACUUUUUUUCUGCUUAUUUUGAUCACGUUCGGCGCUCGAUCGCGCUGUAUGAGACAGGAAAACAUAGCAUGCAGACAUUAGCGACAGGUCUUACAGGCGGAAAAGGCUUGCCAAAAGAAAAAAAAAACACACCACAACAUCUCUCCUAUUGGUGGAAAACUUCACCACAACAACCAAUCCAAAAUUAUAUGGUGACUGAUUGACAAGGGGAGGGCGCUUACGUUCUUCCUGCAACAUGAGAAGCGAGGGAGGGACUCUCAGCAGGGAUGCAGUCUGGGACACGUAGUUGCAAACCUAGCGACUUUGUUGUUAGAUUCAAUGACUUUUCAGACCCCCUAACGACUUUUUUUUUAGAAAGAAAGGGACUUUUAUCGACUUCUUCUGGAGUUUAGAGACUCUGACAUGAAGCAGGCUUUCCUUACUGAGGAGUUAGCAACGCUGCUAAGGGUGCAGAGCCACACAUGCGCUCCGAGCUCUGCAUGGGAGACUGAAGCUGACAGAGCUGCAGCAGUUAGCAGGUUUCACCCUCAGAGACCACCAGGGGUUCAUGUUGAGGCAUUUUAUUUUAUUUUUUUUUUUUUGUGCCAUAGACACUGUCAGCACAAUCUGCAGUUACACUAACAAAAAUGCUGCAAAAAACAAAGAAUUAUGGAAAAAUUACACAUGGACUGACAUAGAGGAGGAUCUACACAAGUUUUUUACAUCAUGUUUUACAUCAUGCAUCAUUUACAUCAUGUUUUUUGUAGUGGCAUAAAUAAAAAGUGACAUUUGUGAGACUAUACAGUGUUUUGUAAAUAAUUUUACAAAGAACGCCUGGGCCAUUGCCUGCAUUUUGAUGUAAAUAGAGGUAAAUCACUAUGUUCUUUGUUAAAAAUUUGCAUAUGUUUUGAAGUUUACAAUUUUUAUUUGAAGUUUAAGUUUUAAAAACAGUUCAUCACACAUAUUUGUGGUUUUCACAGUAAAAAUUUUACUUUUUUCCACUCGGAUUUUAUGUUUUGUGUGUGAAUUUGGGUCCAUUGUGUAAAUUCAGUAUGUCAACAUGAUAAAAUAACUGUAAAUUCGCACAGGUGAGGUUGUGCUGAAAAAAAUGAUACCAGGCAAGGCACGUGAUUGUCAAAUUUUGUGUCAAUAUGACAAAGCGUAUAGGCGUGAAUCUCAACAAUAUCUAUUUUCACCUUAGGGGACAAGAAAAAAUGGACUUUUUUCUCCUGCCAUGGGGGGGCGCUCUUUUGGGGAGUAAAAAUUCCUUCACAAAUGUGUUGAUGGCUGGACAUUGCAUCAUCCUAGAAAACUUGGAGGCCAGUGAGGACAAAAAUAAAAAGUUAUAAGACUUUUAAAUAUGUGGAUUUUAAGGUUAUCUUUGGCGCCCCCUAGAACCUAAACCGUGGGGUGCAGCGUCAUGAUUUGAAUAACUUUUAAUGGCCAUGGGGUGUAGAUUGGCCUGAGCAAAUGUGGUGCCGGUGGAACGAAAGCCUUAGGAGGAGUUAGCCACAUUCCAAUGUGUGCGGAUCGGCAAAAAAUGCGGAAUAACCCUUUAACCGUACAUUUGACAGAUACGCGCGCAUUGACUUUUUCGUAGAUCUUAUUGAGUUACAUGUGUGUGUCAAUUUUUGUGUCAUUUUGACAAAGCGUAUAGGCGUGACACUCAACAAUGUGUAUUUUCACCUUAGGGGACAAGAAAAAAUGGACUUUUUUCUUCUGCCAUGGGGGGGCGCUCUUUUGGGGAGUAAAAAUUCCUUCACAAAUGUGUUGAUGGCUGGACAUUGCAUCAUCCUAGAAAACUUGGAGGCCAGUGAGGACAAAAAUAAAAAGUUAUAAGACUUUUAAAAAUGUGGAUUUUUGGGUUAUCUUUGGCGCCCCCUAGAACGUAAACCAUGGGGUGCAGCGUCAUGAUUUGAAUAACUUUUAAUGGCCAUGGGGUGUAGAUUGGCCUGAGCAAAUUUGGUGCCGGUGGAACGAAAGCCUUCGGAGGAGUUAGCGAAAUUCCAAUGUGUGCGAAUCGGCAAAAAAUGCGGAAUAACCCUUUAACCGUACAUUUGACAGAUACGCGCGCAUGGACUUUUUUGUAGAUCUUAUUGAGAUACAUGUGUGUGUCAAUUUUUGUGUCAUUUUGACAAAGCGUACAGGCGUGACAGUCAAUAGUGUGAAUUUUCACCUUAUGGGACAAGAAAAAAUGAACUUUUUUCUCCUGCCAUGGGGGGGCGCUCUUUUGGGGAGUAAAAAUUCCUUCACAAAUGUGUUGAUGGCUGGACAUUGCAUCAUCCUAGAAAACUUGGAGGCCAGUGAGGGCAAAAAUAAAAAGUUAUAAGACUUUGAAAUAUGUGGAUUUUAGGGUUAUCUUUGGCGCCCCCUAGAACCUAAACCGUGGGGUGCAGCGUCAUGAUUUGAAUAACUUUUAAUGGCCAUGGGGUGUAGAUUGGCCUGAGCAAAUGUGGUGCCGGUGGAACGAAAGCCUUCGGAGGAGUUAGCGAAAUUCCAAUGUGUGCGGAUCGGCAAAAAAUGCGCAAUAACCCUUUAACCGUACAUUUGACAGAUACGCCCGCACUGACUUUUUUGUAGAUCUUAUUGAGAUACAUGUGUGUGUCAAUUUUUGUGUCAUUUUGACAAAGCGUACAGGCGUCAGGUGAAUUUUUCACCUUAGGGGGCGCUAUGGAGCCAUUUUGCAUUGUAUUGUUUGGGCGACUUCAGAAUAUCAAAUUUUUCACCAGGCCCGGUCGUCCUGCCAAAUUUCAUGAGUUUUCGCCAGUGGGAAGUGGGCCAUUUUCCAGUUCAAAGGGGAGGAAAAAGAAACUAGGACCCCGUUGGGGCACUUGCGGGCCCGAGCUGUGUCGCGUCCCCCCCCCAACGCGCUGCCUCCCCGUCCCAUUCGCGUCCUCUGGCCAUCGCCCUCUCUGGUAACGCCCAUCACUGCAAAGACCCUUUUCCUUCAUCGGCGUUUGCUGUUCUUCCUGCCAGUGCGUGUUGCUUUCACUUACACUUGCCACAGCCAGCCUCGUGAGUGCCUAGCCUAUUGGAUAUCACUGUCACCUACACAGGACAGUCAUUACCUUUCUAUUAAUACUUUGUUUUUUAAUUUCACAUUAAUUUCCAUAUUGUAUAAACAACUGGAAAAAACUUGAGCCCCUGCCCCUGUAUAAUCAUGUGCACGUCUCUGUUCUAGCUCUAAGGUGAAUCUUCACUGCUCAUGUUCUCCUCAGAAGCAGUCACCUCACUCCCCUCAGGUUACUGUACACAUGCACCAACUGCCUGCUUCAGGUUUGGAUGGAGCUUCAUGGUUGUCUUUUGGAGAAAUGACCAGUCAAGUUGUGUUUGAAAUUUGAUUUUUUUCAGGGGCAAAAGGAGCCUCUGCAUUCUUGUCAAAUAUGUAAAUAGCAUGUUUUUGCAGGUGCUAAAAACCAGACUCUGAGUGUGUGUGUGUGUGUGUGUGUGUGUGUCUGUGUGUGUGUGUGUGUGUGUGUGUGCGUUCAAGUCACAUGACAUAUUUAACCGGAUGUAGCUGCAAGACGGAGCCUCGUUGACUCUCCGUUUCAACUUAUCUCAAAAGUGAGGACCUCAACCUAUAUACCAGUUUUUAAAUUGUGUUGAUAGGCCAAAUAAAACCAGAGUUAUGAUAAAUUAUGUCCGCGAUACUUGUUUUCUGCUUAUUUUGAUCACGGUCGGCGCUCGAUCGCGCUGUAUGAGACAGGAAAACAUAGCAUGCAGACAUUAGCGACAGGUCUUACAGGCGGAAAAAGCUUGCCAAAGGAAAAAAAAAACACACCACAACAUCUCUCCUAUUGGUGGAAAACUUCACCACAACAACCAAUCCAAAAUUAUAUGGUGACUGAUUGACAAGGGGCGGGAACUUACGUUCUUCCUGCAAUAUGAGAAGGGAGGGAGGGACUCUCAGCAGGGAUGCAGUCUGGGACACGUAGUUGCAAACCUAGCGACUUUGUUGUUAGAUUCAAUGACUUUUCAGACCCCCUAACGACUUUUUUUUAGAAAGAAAGUGACUUUUAUCGACUUCUUCUGGAGUUUAGAGACUCUGACAUGAAGCAGGCUUUCCUUACUGAGGAGUUAGCAACGCUGCUAAGGGUGCAGAGCCACACAUGCGCUCUGAGCUCUGCAUGGGAGACUGAAGCUGACAGAGCUGCAGCAGUUAGCAGGUUUCACCCUCAGAGACCACCAGGGGUUCAUGUUGAGGCAUUUUCAGUUUUUUUUUUUUUUUUUUUUGCCAUAGACACUGUCAGCACAAUCUGCAGUUAGACUAACAAAAAUGCUGCAAAAAACAAAGAAUUAUGGAGAAAUUACACAUGGACUAACAUAGAGGAGGAUCUACACAAGUUUUUUACAUCAUGUUUUACAUCAUGCAUCAUUUACAUCAUGUUUUUUUGUAGUGGCAUAAAUAAAAAGUGACAUUUGUGAGACUAUACAGUGUUUUGUAAAUAAUUUUACAAAGAACACCUGGGCCAUUGCCUGCAUUUUGAUGUAAAUAGAGGUAAAUUACUAUGUUCUUUGUUAAAAAUUUGCAUAUGUUUUGAAGUUUACAAUUUUUAUUUGAAGUUUAAGUUUUAAAAACAGUUCAUCACACAUAUUUGUGGUUUUCACAGUAAAAACGUUACUUUUUUCCACUCGGAUUUUAUGUUUUGUGUGUGAAUUUGGGUCCAAUGUGUAAAUAUAGUAUGUCAAAAUGAUAAAAUAACUGUAAAUGGACACAGGUGAGGUUGUGCUGAAAAAAAUGAUACCAGGCAAGGCAAGGUAAAAAUUUUGUAAGAGGAAAUAUAAAGGUAAAAUCUAAAGUAGUCAAAAACGGCCAAUAGUGACUCACAGACUCCACAGACAAGUCCCUUUGGCGCCACUCAGUGGGCAAAACUACUUUGUCUACUGUAAUGUAUAUUUGGGUCAUCUUUGGCGCCCCCUAAAACGUAAACCGUGGGGUGCAGCGUCAUGAUUUUUACAACUUUGAAUGGCCAUGGAGUGUAGAUUGGCCUGAGCAAAUUUGGUGUCAGUGGGACGAAAGCCUUAGGAGGAGUUAGCGAAAUUCCAAUGUGUGCGAAUCGGCAAAAAAUGCAAAAUAGCCCUUUUACCGUACAUUAUACAGAUAGGCGCUCUUUGACUUUUUCGUAGAUCUAAUUGAGAUACACAUGAUUGUCAAUUUUUGUGUCAUUUUGCCAAAGCGUACAGGCGUGACAGUCAACAAUGUGUAUUUUCACCUUAGGGGACAAGAAAAAAUGGACUUUUUUCUCCUGCCUUGUGGUGUAGCUCUUUUAGGGAGUAAAAAUUCCUUCACAAAUGUGUUGAUGGCUGGACAUUGCAUCAUCCUAGAAAACUUGGAGGCCAGUGAGGACAAAAAUAAAAAGUUAUAAGACUUUUAAAAAUGUGGAUUUUUGGGUUAUCUUUGGCGCCCCCUAGAACGUAAACCGUGGGGUGCAGCGUCAUGAUUUGAAUAACUUUUAAUGGCCAUGGGGUGUAAUUUGGCCUGAGCAAAUGUGGUGCCGGUGGAACGAAAGCCUUCGGAGGAGUUAGCGAAAUUCCAAUGUGUGCGGAUCGGCAAAAAAUGCGGAAUAACCCUUUAACCGUACAUUUGACAGAUACGCGCGCAUUGACUUUUUCGUAGAUCUUAUUGAGUUACAUGUGUGUGUCAAUUUUUGUGUCAUUUUGACAAAGCGUAUAGGCGUGACACUCAACAAUGUGUAUUUUCACCUUAGGGGACAAGAAAAAAUGGACUUUUUUCUCCUGCCAUGGGGGGGCGCUCUUUUGGGGAGUAAAAAUUCCUUCACAAAUGUGUUGAUGGCUGGACAUUGCAUCAUCCUAGAAAACUUGGAGGCCAGUGAGGACAAAAAUAAAAAGUUAUAAGACUUUUAAAUAUGUGGAUUUUACUGUUAUCUUUGGCGCCCCCUAGAACGUAAACCUUGGGGUGCAGCGUCAUGAUUUUGAUAACUUUUAAUGGCCACGGGGUGUAGAUUGGCCUUAGCAAAUGUGGUGCCGGUGGAACGAAAGCCUUCGGAGGAGUUAGCGAAAUUCCAAUGUGUGCGGAUCGGCAAAAAAUGCGAAAUAACCCUUUAACCGUACAUUUGACAGAUACGGCCGCACUGACUUUUUUGUAGAUCUUAUUGAGAUACAUAUGUGUGUCAAUUUUUGUGUCAAUAUGACAAAGCGUAAAGGCGUGACAGUCAAUAGUGUGAAUUUCCACCUUAGGGGGCGCUAUGGAGCCAUUUUGCAUUUUAUUGUUUGGGCGACUUCAGAAUAUCGAAUUUUUCACCAGGCCCGGUCGUCCUGCCAAAUUUCCUGAGUUUUCGCCAGUGGGAAGUGGGCCAUUUUCCAGUUCAAAGGGGAGGAAAAAGAAGAAAGAAAGAAAGAAAGAAACAAAGAAAAACCCCUUGGGGAAUAAUAGGGCUCUCGCAGCUGCUUAGCAGCUACGCUCGGGCCCUAAACUAGGGCCCCGUUGGGGCACUGGCGGGCCCGAGCCGUGUCGCGCCGCCCCCAACACGACCGCC